CGCUCAUCCAGAGGGGCAGAGGGACACGGCCCGAUGAAGCCCCGGCAACCCUCCAGCCGGUCUCGUCUUCGAACAGCGAGGCUCCCGGCUAGGGAAGGUGCCAAAUCCGUCUCGCGGCGAGAUGCGUCGCGAGGAAGAUGAGGA
Molecule: non-coding RNA, 144 nt
Filed under: Streptomyces sp.
Lineage: Bacteria; Bacillati; Actinomycetota; Actinomycetes; Kitasatosporales; Streptomycetaceae
Also listed under: 1 other name
Description: SAM-I sequence
Rfam family: SAM riboswitch aptamer (S box leader)
About the family: The SAM riboswitch is found upstream of a number of genes which code for proteins involved in methionine or cysteine biosynthesis in Gram-positive bacteria.
Source: RNAcentral